GUCUCCAUAGCUCAAUUGGAUAGAGCAACAGAUUUCUAAUCUGUGGGUCAUAAGUUCGAGUCUUAUAAGGAGUACGA
This 77-nucleotide transfer RNA is filed under the name Crassvirales sp. RNAcentral describes it as "tRNA-Arg". It matches the Rfam family "tRNA". Rfam says of the family: Transfer RNA (tRNA) molecules are approximately 80 nucleotides in length. Their secondary structure includes four short double-helical elements and three loops (D, anti-codon, and T loops). Further hydrogen bonds mediate the characteristic L-shaped molecular structure. tRNAs have two regions of fundamental functional importance: the anti-codon, which is responsible for specific mRNA codon recognition, and the 3' end, to which the tRNAs corresponding amino acid is attached (by aminoacyl-tRNA synthetases). tRNAs cope with the degeneracy of the genetic code in two manners: having more than one tRNA (with a specific anti-codon) for a particular amino acid; and 'wobble' base-pairing, i.e. permitting non-standard base-pairing at the 3rd anti-codon position. The record is from RNAcentral. Lineage: Duplodnaviria; Heunggongvirae; Uroviricota; Caudoviricetes; Crassvirales.